This 1883-nucleotide long non-coding RNA is filed under the name Cucumis sativus (cucumber). RNAcentral's name for it is "long non-coding RNA (CSAT_LNC002941)". The record is from RNAcentral. Lineage: Eukaryota; Viridiplantae; Streptophyta; Magnoliopsida; Cucurbitales; Cucurbitaceae.
AAUAAUCAAUGAAAAAGGAAUGAAGAGGUUUAUCCAUGCAAGCUUCAAACCAAAGCCAAGGAUGUCGAUCCUUCCAGGGGAGUCCAAAGUUCUCCCUUAUUUUUCUCCCUUUAUUUUGAUUUUCAAAAGUUUGCAAUUUUUUAAGUGGGGGUGGGCAAUUGCUUGCAUGUUUAGUCUAAACUUGGAGGUUCAAAUUUUGCCCAAAUUUCAAAAUUUCUAAAAAAAAUUUCCUUACAAUAAUGAGCACUAUACCUUCUUAGAUUACUUAGAUCUUGCAUAAAAAGCAUGACUAGCAACCCUUGAUCACUGAGCUUGGGUUUGUGAUGUAAAAUUCUGAUUGUUGAUGAGUAUAUGUGCUGAAAUUUGAGAAUAAGCUGCCGUGUUUUUUGGUUUAAGCCCAUUUUUAGCGAUAUCUUAUGGAGAUGGGAAUGCAUGAUUGAGAAAAUGGUAUGUGUGUUGUGAAUGCUUGAUUGCAUGCAUAUAAUAAAUAAGUGCAUGGAUACUUUUCUAGCUUUGUCUUCCUUUGUUUCUUUGCCAUGACUUACCUAUGAUGCGCUUAGUCCAAACCUAGCCUAGAUAGAGUUAAAAAAGGAUAGGAGGUACUCUUUAGAAAUUGAGAUGGUUUUAACAAAUUUGUCUUGUCAAACAUGAGUUUGGAGCCUCUUGUCUAGCCACAAUGAACUAAAUCCCUUUAGAAAGGGUGGGCAUUAACAAAUCUUGUUGUCACUUCGAAGGGAGCAGUCAAACUUAGAAACUAAGUGUAGAACCAUAGAAAGGUUACCCCAUCGGUUAUUGUGUGCGUACCAAAGAAAGAAAAGAGAGACUUGCAAAUGUAAAACUUAAGACAGCGAGACAAUUAAGAGUUAAAAAAAACAAAGAACAUAUGCAUUAUACAUCAGAAAAAUCCCAUAAAAAAAUGAAGGGAAACUUCACUUUUGGCCUAACCAAAAGCAGACCACCUACUCUUAGCGUUCUAGACAUAGCAUUGAGUUUGAUGAGGGCUUUGAAAAGAGGAGGAAUCCUCCCCGUUCCACACUAGGGGAAAAACGAGACUUGUCACUCCGAAGGGAGCAGUCAAACUUAGCAUUGAGUUCAAGGUAUCCUUCUUAGAUUCUUGAAUCAUGACUACAUUAGGACUACAAUGAGCACCAUUGUUAUGGAUCAAAAUAAAGUUCCAAAUGUUCAUCCAAUCGUGCCAUCAAAUGUGUCAGAAGGAAAUAUUCAUGUUAGCAUUGGAAAGACGUCAAUAGCAGUGGAAAGAAUUGAAGAAAAAAGUGAAACAAAAGUGAAUGGAGACAGGAAAAUGAAAUUAUCCCAGAAAAGCCAACAAUGUGUAGCAAAUGGUACAAACAAGAGUUGAGAAAAGAUGGGGCAUGAUUUCAUGGUUUCAAAUGGGAAGUCAUCAUGUGUAUUUUAAGGGGAAAAUAUUUUGUUUUUCUAGUUCCUUUCCAGAAGAUCGGGUAUGUUGUAAAGAUUCUUUCCUCUUAUUUCAAACAGCAUGAUUAAUGUACACUAUGCACUUUAGGUUUUAGAUGUAUUAUUGUGGUAAAUAGCAUCCAUUUUUUAAAAAAAUAACAAAGUAGAAGCCCUGUAUUCAAUAUCAGUUGACUUGAGUAAAGAGUAGUUCAUUACUGCUCCAACUCCAUGAUUUUAAAAGCAAGUCAAUGGUGCAGAUAGGAUUCUAGAUCUACCGUUUCUUUAACACUCCGAUCCUGUUAAGAGAAUGAUAUAAAAAAAAUGGAAAAAUUACCUUUUUAGUCCCCAAUUUUAUAGAAAUAGGUUUAUUGGUCCUUGAGUUUUCAAAAUGUACUCUUUUAAUCCUUGAGUGCUUAAUGUUAUACUGGAGACUCUCAAAACCAAUUUUUUAGAAGAAGUUAUUCUAC